This 359-nucleotide ribosomal RNA is filed under the name uncultured Candidatus Saccharibacteria bacterium. RNAcentral describes it as "bacterial SSU rRNA". It matches the Rfam family "Bacterial small subunit ribosomal RNA", at positions 1008 to 1378 of the family's 1533-position model. The record is from RNAcentral. Lineage: Bacteria; Candidatus Saccharimonadota.
AAGAAUUUCAUUUAGUUGGAUCGGUGACAGGUGAUGCAUGGCCGUCGUCAGCUCGUGUCGUGAGAUGUUUGGUUAAGUCCAUCAACGAGCGCAACCCUUGUGGACAGUUGUAUUUUUCUGUUCAAACUGCCUCGGUAACGGGGAGGAAGGAGGGGACGACGUCUGGUCAGUAUUCCCUUACGUCCUGGGCUAGAAACGCGCUACAAUGGCUGGUACAAUGCGCUGCUAAAUCGCGAGAUGGAGCAAAUCGCAUCAAAACCAGUCCCAGUUCGGAUUGCAGGCUGAAACUCGCCUGCAUGAAGUCGGAAUCGCUAGUAAUCGCGGAUCAGCAUGCUGCGGUGAAUACGUUCCUGGGGAUU